UAUGUCUUCGGAUAUAGAGACCGGCGCACGGGUGCGUAACGCGUAUGCAAUCUACCUUUUACAGGGGAAUAGCCCAGAGAAAUUUGGAUUAAUGCCCCAUAGUAUAAUUGAAUGGCAUCAUUUAAUUAUUAAAGUCACAACGGUAAAAGAUGAGCAUGCGUCCCAUUAGUUAGUUGGUAAGGUAACGGCUUACCAAGACAAUGAUGGGUAGGGGUCCUGAGAGGGAGAUCCCCCACACUGGUACUGAGACACGGACCAGACUCCUACGGGAGGCAGCAGUGAGGAAUAUUGGACAAUGGGCGCAAGCCUGAUCCAGCCAUGCCGCGUGCAGGAAGACGGUCCUAUGGAUUGUAAACUGCUUUUAUACAGGAAGAAACACUCCGACGUGUCGGAGCUUGACGGUACUGUAGGAAUAAGGAUCGGCUAACUCCGUGCCAGCAGCCGCGGUAAUACGGAGGAUCCAAGCGUUAUCCGGAAUCAUUGGGUUUAAAGGGUCCGUAGGCGGUUUAAUAAGUCAGUGGUGAAAUCUGGUCGCUCAACGAUCAAACGGCCAUUGAUACUGUUAGACUUGAAUUAUAAGGAAGUAACUAGAAUAUGUAGUGUAGCGGUGAAAUGCUUAGAUAUUACAUGGAAUACCAAUUGCGAAGGCAGGUUACUACUUAUGGAUUGACGCUGAUGGACGGAAGCGUGGGGAGCGAACAGGAUUAGAUACCCUG
RNAcentral lists this ribosomal RNA (716 nucleotides) under uncultured Bacteroidota bacterium. RNAcentral describes it as "bacterial SSU rRNA". It matches the Rfam family "Bacterial small subunit ribosomal RNA", at positions 73 to 789 of the family's 1533-position model. Lineage: Bacteria; Pseudomonadati; Bacteroidota. The record is from RNAcentral.